This 291-nucleotide ribosomal RNA is filed under the name uncultured bacterium. Its description in RNAcentral is "partial 16S ribosomal RNA". It matches the Rfam family "Bacterial small subunit ribosomal RNA", at positions 772 to 1060 of the family's 1533-position model. The record is from RNAcentral.
GUGGGUUAGAUACCCCGGUAGUCCACGCCGUAAACGAUGUUCACUAGGUGUUGGGGGUAUUGACCCCCUCAGUGCCGGAGCUAACGCAUUAAGUGAACCGCCUGGGGAGUACGGUCGCAAGACUAAAACUCAAAGGAAUUGACGGGGGCCCGCACAAGCGGUGGAGCAUGUGGUUUAAUUCGAUGCAACGCGAAGAACCUUACCUGGGCUUGACAUCCCGAGAAUCCCCUGGAAACAGGGGAGUGCCCUUCGGGGAACUCGGAGACAGGUGCUGCACGGCUGUCGCCAACU